UGUACAGUUGCAUUGUGGGAUAUUUACCGGCUGGAGGCGAAUGUUCGCGGGCUAGAGAGCGGGACCAAGGAGGAUUUUCACCGGGUAAUCUUAUGUUGUGAUGUGCUACAGAGGUGUGCUACAGCUGCAGGUCUUAAAGGGACACACAACCUGCCGCCAAGUCCACAACUCAUUGCCCUCAGAGACAACAUUACCCUUCAUCAUGGAUGAUCAGCAUCGAGGGUGAAAUUGUUUGAGGGCGUUCAACCUACGUUCCAGGCUGGUCUCGCAGCACUUUUUGCCACCUUCUACGUUUUAA
This is a long non-coding RNA of Archocentrus centrarchus (flier cichlid), 298 nucleotides long. RefSeq lists it as uncharacterized. The transcript is spliced from 3 exons. NCBI's taxonomy places the organism in Eukaryota, Metazoa, Chordata, Actinopteri, Cichliformes, Cichlidae. The record is from RefSeq and is a predicted model, not a curated record.